This is a non-coding RNA of Gasterosteus aculeatus aculeatus (three-spined stickleback), 1165 nucleotides long. The record is from RefSeq and is a predicted model, not a curated record. NCBI's taxonomy places the organism in Eukaryota, Metazoa, Chordata, Actinopteri, Perciformes, Gasterosteidae.
GCCAGAGCUGGUUAAGACUGCAGAUUUUGAACUAGCAAGAGAAACCCGCCCGCUGAAUCCUUUCACUGAUUAUGUGUCCACAAGAUGGUACAGAGCCGCAGAGCUUCUACUAGUAAAGAUCCUACAGCUUCCCCGUUGACAUCUGGGCCGUGGGAGGCAUCAUGGCGGAGCUCUACACACUAGUACCCCGGUUUCCUGGCAACAGUGAGGUGGACGAGAUCUUCAAGACCUGCCAGUCAGACUGGCCCGAGGGAUACGACCUGCGCGCCUUGAUGAACGUCUGCUUCCCAAUGUCUGUGCCCGCCAGCCUCAGAUCUCUGAUCUCCAACGCCAGCAACGAGGCAAUCGCACUGAUGGAAGACAUGUUGCAGUGAGAUCCCCCAAAAAAGACCAAGUGCAGCUCAGGUACAUUCAGAAACCCAUUAGGAUGCAGCACAGAUCGGUAGGAAUGAACAUAUGGAGACAAAUGCUUUUUGAGUGCAUCUAUUCAGAGACCCAAGUGAGCAUCAAUCAGCUUACGUUUGCAGUUACUGUAAUAUCGAACCGGACAUCUCUGUGUACUGCUGAGGCAAAGCGCCGCCAAUGACUUCAUGAAUUUAUUUUACAUUUCAGCCGUGGUGAGAAAUGUCGACUAUGGUUUCUCUAGUUCUUUACAAGAUGUGUACUGCAUCAUAUCCUGUGUCCUAUAAACAUUUAUACAAACAUAACAUAAAAAUAACAAACAAAUACCAUUUAUUCUACACUAAUUUUGAUCUGGUUCAACUCUAAUGUAUAAUACUUUUGUGUUGCAGAAAUUUGUAUGUUUUUUAAACCUCGCAAUAUUAAUAUUUUUCGUUUUUGUUUGUGUUGCAGGCUCCACGGUUACACCUAAUAAAAAAAGCAUUACUUGCUACAGAACUCAAGACAAAAAAACUCAUAUGUAACCAAGUACCCUUUAAAAUUUCUCAUCUACUUUUCAUUGUGUUCUCUUGUCCUUGUCCACUCUUUCUCGUUCUUUUAGACGAAAGUUGUUCUAAACUCAGACACGCAGCUUCUAAAAGACAAAAACCUACAGGAUCUUAAUCUCUUCUCAAAUAGGACUGCAAAACAACAUAUAUGCAGUUGGUGUCUGCAACUUAGUCUGAUGAUCCCUCUACCCAGCUGUUAUUUGAAGAUAAGACACUGU